RNAcentral lists this microRNA precursor (85 nucleotides) under Tursiops truncatus (common bottlenose dolphin). RNAcentral's name for it is "miRNA (ENSTTRG00000024540.1)". The record is from RNAcentral. Lineage: Eukaryota; Metazoa; Chordata; Mammalia; Artiodactyla; Delphinidae.
AUAUAUUGAUAGAUAUAGAGAUAUAAAUAUAUAUCUCUAUAGAUAUCUAUCUCUAUAUAGAUAUAGAGAUAGAUAUAGAAAGAGA